CGAGUCGAGCGUUUCUAGCUAUGUAGAGACGCGGCAGACGGCUCAGUAACACGUGGCUAACCUACCCUCAGGACGAGGACAACCCCGGGAAACUGGGACUAAUACUCGAUAGGCGAGGAUGCCUGGAAUGGCUUCUCACCUAAAGGCCUUGGAGACAUGCUUCCAAGUCGCCUGAGGAUGGGGCCGCGUCCGAUCAGGUUGUUGGUGAGGUAAUGGCUCACCAAGCCUAUAACCGGUACGGGCCGUGAGAGCGGUAGCCCGGAGAUGGGUACUGAGACAAGGACCCAGGCCCUACGGGGCGCAGCAGUCGCGAAAACUCCGCAAUGCACGCAAGUGUGACGGGGCUACCCCGAGUGCCAACCGCUGAGGAUGGCUUUUCCUUGGUAUAACUAGCCAGGGGAAUAAGGAGAGGGCAAGACUGGUGUCAGCCGCCGCGGUAAUACCAGCUCUCCGAGUGGUAGGGAUGAUUAUUGGGCUUAAAGCGUCCGUAGCCGGCUUAGCAAGUUUCCUGUUAAACCCAGCGACUCAAUCGUUGGAUCGCGGGAAAUACUACUAGGCUAGGAGGCGGGAGAGGUCAACGGUACUUCUGGGGUAGGGGUGAAAUCCUAUAAUCCCGGGAGGACCACCAGUGGCGAAGGCUGUUGACUAGAACGCGCUCGACGGUGAGGGACGAAAGCUGGGGGAGCGAACCGGAUUAGAUACCCGGGUAGUCCCAGCCGUAAACGAUGCGAGCUAGGUGUUGGGAUGGCUACGUGCCACUUCAGUGCCGCAGGGAAGCCAUUAAGCUCGCCGCCUGGGGAGUACGGCCGCAAGGCUGAAACUUAAAGGAAUUGGCGGGA
This 839-nucleotide ribosomal RNA is filed under the name uncultured archaeon. RNAcentral describes it as "bacterial SSU rRNA". It matches the Rfam family "Archaeal small subunit ribosomal RNA", at positions 54 to 873 of the family's 1478-position model. The record is from RNAcentral.